RNAcentral lists this ribosomal RNA (354 nucleotides) under uncultured bacterium. RNAcentral describes it as "bacterial SSU rRNA". It matches the Rfam family "Bacterial small subunit ribosomal RNA", at positions 28 to 378 of the family's 1533-position model. The record is from RNAcentral.
GAUGAACGCUAGCGGCAGGCCUAAUACAUGCAAGUCGAACGGCCCCGACACUUCGGUGUCGGGGUAGUGGCGCACGGGUGCGUAACGCGUACACAACAUACCCUUUACAGGGGGAUAGCGGCGGGAAACUGCCAGUAAUACCCCAUGUCCUUGCGAGGUGGCAUCAUUUUGCAAAGAAAGUUCAAGCGGUAAAGGAUUGGUGUGCGUCCGAUUAGCUAGUUGGCGGGGUAACGGCCCACCAAGGCGACAAUCGGUAGGGGGUGUGAGAGCAUGGCCCCCCACACGGGUACGUGAGACACGGACCCGGACCUCCUACGGGAGGCAGCAGUAAGGAAUAUUGGACGAAUAGGACGG